GUGCAAGGCCGAGGGAGGAACUGUCGUCUGGGAAUGCCUGGUUUCCCGGCCAGACGCCGAGGGCCCUCAAAGUCCCUAGCAACGGCUGCGGAGGCAGAUGCUUUCACUCUGCAAGCGCUCCAGCACAUGAUCAUCAACUUUCCAUGUGUCUAGAAAGAAAAGAACAAAGAUUUCUAUCAUUUUGAUUUGGGGGAAUGAGUCAGGGAAGUAAUCAUAUGUGUGGAACACACCAGGGAGGGGUUAGGAAAGAAGAUGGAAAUCUCUUUGUGAGCAAGAUGGUAUUAUAUCACAGAGAUCACUGAAACGAGAAAUUUGACAGAUUACACCAUCUUGUGUGGGAGCAAGAGAAGGAUCUGAGAAUCUACCACUUCAGAGUACUGCAGGCAUUCCAAUGAGUCUACCUAGGUCCAUGCAGGUUACAAAUGGCGACCCAGAACAGGGACUCCAAGGACGCCCAACUAGCCGCAUCCGAACAUGGGACUUCAAGGAUGUGAAUGAAGAAGGUCUGCUGGAGCAGAGGAACCGAAAUUGACAAGGCAAACGGGGACCCGGGGACAAGUCUGCCAGCAGCCAAUAUAAGUCUGUAAAAUCGGAUGGACUGCCAGUCGGCGAAUGAGAGCUGCCCAGCCUGGCCUUACAUUCUUUCAAUUAAUUCAUAAACAGAAAGGGGAAUAUGCAGGGAGCCGAAGGCCCCUGAGAUGUGACCAACUCAGCAUUCCACUGGAGGCUAUAUGAUCAAACAGCAAACUGUUUAUCAUGAACACAGGAUGUGGGCAAACUCAUCACUGCUCCUGCUGACAGAAGGUUUGCUGGAGGCAAUCACUCCCUGGCACCGAGGUUAUCUACUGCAACAUCUAGAGAAUGCAGUCUUGCAAGCCUACUCUGAACUGAGCAGCUGACCCCUUCUUCCACCCCCACCCCCACCCUUGUAUCUCUUUUGCCUAAUAAAUACAGAGGGCUGUGAAAAGCUCAGGGCCCUUGUCCACUAGAGGCAAGGUGCCCCCUGACCCCUUCUUCCAAAUAUA
This is a long non-coding RNA of Symphalangus syndactylus (siamang), 1025 nucleotides long. RefSeq lists it as uncharacterized. Lineage: Eukaryota; Metazoa; Chordata; Mammalia; Primates; Hylobatidae. The record is from RefSeq and is a predicted model, not a curated record.